CCUACGGGGGACAGCAGUGAGGAAUAUUGGUCAAUGGACGAAAGUCUGAACCAGCCAUGCCGCGUGUAGGAUGACGGCCCUACGGGUUGUAAACCUCUUUUAUCGGGGAGUAAAGCGAACCACGUGUGGCUCAUUGAGAGUACCCGAAGAAUAAGCAUCGGCUAACUCCGUGCCAGCAGCCGCGGUAAUACGGAGGAUUCGAGCGUUAUCCGGAUUUAUUGGGUUUAAAGGGAGCGAAGGGGGUGGGGAAAGUCAGCGGUAAAAUUUCGGGGCUAAACCCCGUACUGCCGUUGAAACUGGAACCCUUGAGUGCACGAGAGGUAUGCGGAAUGCGUGGUGUAGCGGUGAAAUGCAUAGAUAUCACGAAGAACUCCGAUUGCGAAGGCAGCAUACCGGCGCGCGACUGACGUUCAUGCACGAAAGCGUGGGUAUCGAACAGGAUUAGAUACCCGAGUAGUC
Molecule: ribosomal RNA, 459 nt
Filed under: uncultured bacterium
Lineage: Bacteria
Description: partial 16S ribosomal RNA
Rfam family: Bacterial small subunit ribosomal RNA
Source: RNAcentral